CAGAACCACGUGUUGGAGUCACAGUGUGAAGUCUCUGAAAAGCUGACCCCCAGUAUUUUGAGUCUGCACAACUGGGAUACCAGCAGCUGAAUCUGAUGGUUUUGCAUUUAAAUGGAUAUAUUUGUGCAGAUCUCAUCUUACUGGAAAACUGGAAGCAGCCUUCCUUGAUGCAUGGCUAAGGUGCACUGAUUCACCCAGUCAGUGUACUUGGACCUAGCACAGAAGAUGGGCCAUGAAGAAUAACCUUCUAUUGUAAAGAAAGUGACUGAAGCCAUGCCCCAGUCCACUGCAGGUUCAAGUUGAGUCUAUAAUACAAGCCCAUGAGAAAUAAUCAGGUGAGAAUUUAUUUUGUGUCUUUCUCUAUGUGAAAGCAGGGGAGAAGAUAUUAAUGAUUUUUAAAUUAACUAUUUAUUAUGUAUGGCUAGAAAAAAUAUGUUUGUUUCCAAACCUUUGGUUAAAUCUGUGGUUUUAGUCAUGAGGCGCUAACACUGAUGCAUGUU
Pezoporus occidentalis (night parrot) is the source of this 500-nucleotide long non-coding RNA. RefSeq lists it as uncharacterized. The record is from RefSeq and is a predicted model, not a curated record. The transcript has 3 exons. Lineage: Eukaryota; Metazoa; Chordata; Aves; Psittaciformes; Psittacidae.